CAGGCCUAACACAUGCAAGUCGAACGGCAGCACGGACUUCGGUCUGGUGGCGAGUGGCGAACGGGUGAGUAAUGUAUCGGAACGUGCCCAGUAGCGGGGGAUAACUACGCGAAAGCGUAGCUAAUACCGCAUACGCCCUACGGGGGAAAGCAGGGGAUCGUAAGACCUUGCACUAUUGGAGCGGCCGAUAUCGGAUUAGCUAGUUGGUGGGGUAACGGCUCACCAAGGCGACGAUCCGUAGCUGGUUUGAGAGGACGACCAGCCACACUGGGACUGAGACACGGCCCAGACUCCUACGGGAGGCAGCAGUGGGGAAUUUUGGACAAUGGGGGAAACCCUGAUCCAGCCAUCCCGCGUGUGCGAUGAAGGCCUUCGGGUUGUAAAGCACUUUUGGCAGGAAAGAAACGUCAUGGGUUAAUACCCCGUGAAACUGACGGUACCUGCAGAAUAAGCACCGGCUAACUACGUGCCAGCAGCCGCGGUAAUACGUAGGGUGCAAGCGUUAAUCGGAAUUACUGGGCGUAAAGCGUGCGCAGGCGGUUCGGAAAGAAAGAUGUGAAAUCCCAGAGCUUAACUUUGGAACUGCAUUUUUAACUACCGGGCUAGAGUGUGUCAGAGGGAGGUGGAAUUCCGCGUGUAGCAGUGAAGU
Molecule: ribosomal RNA, 649 nt
Filed under: uncultured bacterium
Lineage: Bacteria
Description: bacterial SSU rRNA
Rfam family: Bacterial small subunit ribosomal RNA
Source: RNAcentral